UACGGAGGGGGCUAGCGUUGUUCGGAAUUACUGGGCGUAAAGCGCACGUAGGCGGCUUUGUAAGUUAGAGGUGAAAGCCCAGGGCUUAACCCUGGAAUUGCACCUAAAACUACAUGGCUAGAGUACUGGAGAGGGUAACGGAAUUCACGGUGUAGCAGUGAAAUGCGUAGAUAUCGUGAGGAACACCAGAGGCGAAGGCGGUUACCUGGACAGUUACUGACGCUCAGGCACGAAAGCGUGGGGAGCAAAAGGG
This 253-nucleotide ribosomal RNA is filed under the name uncultured bacterium. Its description in RNAcentral is "partial 16S ribosomal RNA". It matches the Rfam family "Bacterial small subunit ribosomal RNA", at positions 524 to 776 of the family's 1533-position model. The record is from RNAcentral.